GUGACAGUGCUGGAGAAUGAAUGACCUCUGCCAUUUAACCAUAGAACACUAAAAAUGGUAGUGCAAGUUCUUCCCCAUGCUGUCCUACCAGUAUAUCUCAACCCCAAUCUGGAAGGGCAUCCUUAGGGAUGAGAUGGUAGUUUAGUUUCCAGGCUAAUUCAGUCCUUGGUCUCU
This 174-nucleotide small RNA is filed under the name Chrysemys picta bellii (western painted turtle). RNAcentral describes it as "TUC338 (ENSCPBG00000009261.1)". The record is from RNAcentral. Lineage: Eukaryota; Metazoa; Chordata; Testudines; Emydidae.